Molecule: ribosomal RNA, 761 nt
Filed under: uncultured bacterium
Lineage: Bacteria
Description: bacterial SSU rRNA
Rfam family: Bacterial small subunit ribosomal RNA
Source: RNAcentral
AUUGAACGCUGGCGGCAGGCUUAACACAUGCAAGUCGAACGGUAACAGGAAGAAAGCUUGCUUUCUUUGCUGACGAGUGGCGGACGGGUGAGUAAUGCUUGGGAAUCUGCCUUAUGGAGGGGGAUAACUACGGGAAACUGUAGCUAAUACCGCGUAAUAUCUUCGGAUUAAAGUAUGGGAUCUUCGGACCAUAUGCCAUAAGAUGAGCCCAAGUGAGAUUAGGUAGUUGGUGAGGUAAGGGCUCACCAAGCUGACGAUCUCUAGCUGGUUUGAGAGGAUGACCAGCCACACUGGAACUGAGACACGGUCCAGACUCCUACGGGAGGCAGCAGUGGGGAAUAUUGCACAAUGGGCGCAAGCCUGAUGCAGCCAUGCCGCGUGAAUGAAGAAGGCUUUCGGGUUGUAAAGUUCUUUCAGUGGUGAGGAAGGUGCAUUAUCUAAUAGGUAAUGCAAUUGACGUUAGCCACAGAAGAAGCACCGGCUAACUCCGUGCCAGCAGCCGCGGUAAUACGGAGGGUGCGAGCGUUAAUCGGAAUAACUGGGCGUAAAGGGCACGCAGGCGGUUGUCUAAGUCAGAUGUGAAAGCCCCGAGCUUAACUUGGGAAUUGCAUUUGAGACUGGGCGACUAGAGUCCUCUAGGGAGGGGUAGAAUUCCACGUGUAGCGGUGAAAUGCGUAGAGAUGUGGAGGAAUACCGAAGGCGAAGGCAGCCCCUUGGAGAGAGACUGACGCUGAGGUGCGAAAGCGUGGGUAGCAAACAGG